CACACCUCCUGUGAUCUUCAUUGUUGAUCAGGGCUCUGGGGCCCGGGCCGCGUUCAAAAACGGCUCGCCCCUAAUGUGGCACGCUUGCGGACCUCCGGUCAGUGAUCGACGUAGUAAACUCGAGAGAGGCUCGUGGAGAAACUGCCGGAUGGCUCAUUUUCGCCUGAAAUCAAACUCAUCUUCUAUG
RNAcentral lists this unclassified non-coding RNA (187 nucleotides) under uncultured fungus. RNAcentral describes it as "sequence contains ITS2". The record is from RNAcentral. Lineage: Eukaryota; Fungi. RNAcentral also lists the same sequence under 1 other name.